RNAcentral lists this long non-coding RNA (220 nucleotides) under Mytilus galloprovincialis (Mediterranean mussel). The record is from RNAcentral. Lineage: Eukaryota; Metazoa; Mollusca; Bivalvia; Mytilida; Mytilidae.
CUUUGCAUCCGUGACAGCUGUUUAUUCGGGACAAUUAUAUAAUUUUUAAUGUAAACUUUGUUGUACGAACGUACAUGACUUUUAGAACGCACCUACGCAUGUGAGAUUUCCGCGGGGUUUUGGGUGAAUGUAAACAGAAAGAUACGAGGACCGAGAAUACUGAACACAAACAGAGAAAACGUUAUUUAAAUGGUAUCUUUGUGCUUCUGAAGGUUAUCGA